CCUACGGGUGGCUGCAGUGGGGAAUAUUGCACAAUGGGGGAAACCCUGAUGCAGCGACGCCGCGUGAGUGAAGAAGGCAUUCGUUACGUAAAGCUCUAUCAGUAGGGAAGAAAAAGACGGUACCUGAGUAAGAAUCCCCUGCUAACAACGUGCCAGUAGCCGCCGUAAUACGUAGGGCGCACGGCUUAGCUGGUUUUACGGGGGGUAGAGGGAGCGGAGACGGUGCGCCGAGUCUGGAGUGAAAUGCCGCAGCUUAACUGCGGAACUGCUUUGGAGACUGGCGAACUAGAGUGCGGGAGGGGUGAGCGGAAUACCUAGUGUAGCGGUGAAAUGCGUAGAGAUUAGGAGGAACACCGGUGGCGAAGGCGGCUUACUGGACCGUAACUGACGUUGAGGCUCGAAAGCGUGGGGAGCAAACAGGAUUAGAUACCCGGGUAGUC
Molecule: ribosomal RNA, 440 nt
Filed under: uncultured bacterium
Lineage: Bacteria
Description: partial 16S ribosomal RNA
Rfam family: Bacterial small subunit ribosomal RNA
Source: RNAcentral